UGCCUGCCCAGUGACUUAGUUAAACGGCCGCGGUAUCUUGACCGUGCAAAGGUAGCAUAAUCAUUUGCCUCUUAAAUAGAGGCUGGUAUGAAUGGCAAGACUGGGGUUAAGCUGUCUCUUUCUUAUAACUUGAAUUUUAUAUUUUCGUGAAGAAGCGGAAAUAAACUCGUAGGACGAGAAGACCCUGUCGAGCUUUAGUAAAAAUAUUAGUGGUAAUAAAGAAUAAUAAAUCUAAUGUUAAACUUAUAAAAAUUUUAUAAAAUCUAAUUUUUUAUUCUUAGCCCUUUAAUAUACUAACUUUGAUUGGGGCAAUCGCGGAGUAUAAAAAGCCUCCGCUAAAAACAUAAAAAAAUAACCAUUUUAAAAUAAAGUGAUCCGCUAGAUAGCGAGCAAAGGAAUAAGUUACCGCAGGGAUAACAGCGUAAUUUUUUUGGAGAGUUCAUAUUGAUAAAAAAGUUUGCGACCUCGAUGUUGGAUCGAGAUUUCCUAGAGAUGCAGCAGUCUCU
Molecule: ribosomal RNA, 506 nt
Filed under: Luidia quinaria
Lineage: Eukaryota; Metazoa; Echinodermata; Asteroidea; Paxillosida; Luidiidae
Description: partial 16S ribosomal RNA
Rfam family: Bacterial large subunit ribosomal RNA
Source: RNAcentral